GCGCUCGUAGCUCAGCGGACAGAGCAUCCGGCUCCGACCCGGAAGGUCGCUGGUUCGAUCCCAGCCGGGCGCAC
RNAcentral lists this transfer RNA (74 nucleotides) under Actinocatenispora sera. RNAcentral describes it as "tRNA-Arg". It matches the Rfam family "tRNA". From Rfam's summary of the family: Transfer RNA (tRNA) molecules are approximately 80 nucleotides in length. Their secondary structure includes four short double-helical elements and three loops (D, anti-codon, and T loops). Further hydrogen bonds mediate the characteristic L-shaped molecular structure. tRNAs have two regions of fundamental functional importance: the anti-codon, which is responsible for specific mRNA codon recognition, and the 3' end, to which the tRNAs corresponding amino acid is attached (by aminoacyl-tRNA synthetases). tRNAs cope with the degeneracy of the genetic code in two manners: having more than one tRNA (with a specific anti-codon) for a particular amino acid; and 'wobble' base-pairing, i.e. permitting non-standard base-pairing at the 3rd anti-codon position. The record is from RNAcentral. Lineage: Bacteria; Bacillati; Actinomycetota; Actinomycetes; Micromonosporales; Micromonosporaceae.